AUUUUACUGAGAGCCUCGGUUGCCAAUGUCCUGAACCGCGAUUUGAAUUUGGCCCAUGGAAACCAGAAAAUGGAGAGGCUUCUGAUGCGACUCUGAAAGAGUUCACACCGAGGUUUCGGAUUCCUCAUCACAUUAACCGCGAAGAAAUCAAAAGUGAUCUCUUCCGAUAUUUGUCCAAGGUUCCUGGUUCGUCGGAAUAAUGAAUUGGUUCAACGAACACAUUUAUCAGCACUUUUAAUAAACCUCUCCUUACUAAAUCCUUCAAGGCUGGGCAUCUAAACAUACCUGUUGUACCUUUCAUUCCAAAUCCCUUGCGGUGUUUUAAAUACUCAGAACAGAGGGGUUAGCAACACUCGAGAAAAUUAUGAAAGAAAUUAGAGAUUUACGGAGUGAUCUUAGUGAAGAUAUUAGUCAAAUAAAACGAAAUACAAGUGAAACAAAGAUAGAGUGUGCACGCGUGUUGCAUACGAUUAGACGUUGAUGCUGUAAAUGAAAAGUUAGAAAAUAUGGAGGUGAUUAUUAAUGAACAAAAAGAAAUAAUAGACCGAAUGGACAACGAGAUAAAUGAACUUGAAGCAAGGGGCAGGAGAAAUAAUCUUAUAUUUUAUGGAGUGGAAGAAGCUGAUGGUGAAACGAGUCAGAAAUGUCGGGUAAGGUGCUUGACAUAGUGAACAAUAUUCCGGGAGUAAAUAUUCAAUUGAGAGCCAUACAUACAACUCACAGACUGGGGAGACGACAGACGGAUAGAAGCAGGCCAAUCAUUGUUAAUUUGUGUCAUUCAGAUGAUAAACAGUGUAUUUUCGAGAACCGGGCACAGCUGAAAGAUUUAGGAAUAUCUGUAUAUAAUGACUUAACUAGGCGACAGCGCAAUAUAUUAAAUGAACUAAAAGCACAAGGAAAGAAAGGUUAUUUGAAGUGUGGUGAAUUGGUUGUAGAUAAUGCAAGUGACACGCGUAGAUACAGGUUUCGGCACAAGACGUCACGUGCAACUCUGGCUACAGACAUGGAGACCUCUGUGCAACACACCAGUGAAGUUGACUUCAUUUCGUCACGUGAUACCGAUAACGCUCACAACGAAUAGCAAUGCGGCCACAGCCCAAGAGAUACGUCACAUCAUUUUCUGUUUUGGAACAUAGAAGGACUUCGUCGUCUUUUAAAUGACCCAGAUUUUGUGACUUAUGUAGAAAAAUAUGAUUUUAUUUCAUUUUCUGAAACAUGGAUGAAUACUGAUCUUUUUUCUCCAGUGUUUGAAAACUACUCCUUAUUUAUGCAGCUAGGGGGAAAAUUUAACAAUAAAGGAAGGCUGUCAGGAGGUAUAUAUAUUUUUUAUUAGGAAUUCUAUCAAACAUUGAAUUUGAUAAACAAGUUUUUAAACAAGAUAAGGACAUUUUAUUUGGGUGUAUAUAUAAUCCUCCUCAGUAUUCUGUAUAUUUUCAAAACUCUGAUGGAAAUAAUGGUAUUAGUGUGUUAGAAAGUAUUAUCUUAGAUUUAAUAACAAGUAUUGGUACAGAUUGCUAUAUAAUUCUGGCAGGGGAUUUCAAUGCCCGUACAGGAAAUCUUUAUGAUGAGAUUGAGAUUAGUGAGAACGAUCAUUGGGCGUUGAAUGAUUUAAUCCAGGUGGGUCCUAGACAUUCAAAAGACAACGUAAUUAAUGUGUUUGGUAGUUCGCUUAUCGAUAUGUGUUCAUCUUUAAAUAUAAACAUUUUGAAUGGCAGGUGUGGCCAGGAUACUAUUGGAGACUUUACAUACAUAUGUGACAAGGGAGCAAGUGUUGUUGAUUAUUGUGUUGCAUCACCUAUGUUAUUUCAAACUGUGAAGGAUUUUGUAGUAGAAAAUAGAACUGAAUCAAAACAUUUACCAAUAAGUCUAACUAUACAUACAGGAGAUGUACAAAUUUCUGAUAGUAGUAGUACAUAUAUAUAAACAUUUAUUUGGGAUGAUGAUAAGAAGAAUGAGUAUAUUGCAAAUAUUGCUAACACUACAAAUUCUAGUUUGUUAAUAAAUGCUAUAUCAAUGAUAGAUGUCGAUAUACAUGUAUCGGUAUAGAUGUUUAACGACAUGCUGAUUAUCGCUGGACAGUGUUUAUUAUAUAGAAAGGGCACAUAUCGGAAGAAUCAUAAUAAAUGGUUUGAUUGUGAAUGUCGCCAAUACAAAAGACAGGCAAGAUAUGCACUUAGAAAAUAUAGAAAAUUUAGAACAAGGUAUACUUAUGGUCAAUACAGAACAGCAAUGAAUAGAUAUAAAGCACUUAUAAAGGUAAAGAAAGAUAUUUAUGUAAAUGAUGAAAUCUAUAAAUUGCAACAGCUGCUGGUAAACAAAAUAAUAAAGCAUUCUGGUCCCAUUUAAGACGCAUGCGAUCGAAACAAGAUAUAAACAUUCCAAUAUGACAAGAUAAAUGGUUUACACACUUUACAACAUUAUUCAAAGAAAUUCAUGAUGAUAAUCACAUGGUUUAUAAUGAUGAUAAAGUUCAUUCUAUUAAUAGUAGAGGACAAAAUUUAGAUGACAUUAUGACAGGUUAUACUGCCUCAAUAACAAGAUGCGAGAUUGAAUCUUCUAUUAAUUCACUGAAAAUGGGUAAAGCAGCAGGGUUUGAUAAUCUGAUUAGGGAAAUGUUUAUUUUUGGUAAAGAUUAUUUUUAUGAAUAUAUGUAAAAAUUAUUUAAUACAAUUUUUGAUAGUGGUGUAUUCCCAGAUAUGUGGACAAAAUGAAUAAUAGUGCCAAUUUUUAAGAAUGGAUCAAAAGAUAAUCCAGGUAAUUACCGUGGAAUUACUUUAUUACCUGUACUUAGUAAAAUAUAUAUCUCUAUUAUCAGUGAAAGGAUAACAGACUGGGCCAAUGAUCAUAAUAAAAUAACCGAAGCUCAAGCAGGCUUUAGGGCUGGCUAUUCUACAAUAGAUAAUGUGUUUACUCUAUAUGCAUGUGUACAGAAAUAUCUCUCCAAAAGGAAGGGGAGGUUGUAUGUUGCAUUUGUUAAUUUUAAAAAAGCAUUUGAUGGCAUAGAUAGAAAAAAGUUAUUGUUUCUCCUACAGGACAUUGGGCUGUGUGGUAAACUGAUAGACAGUAUUAAAUCUAUUUAUAAAACGUUUAUGUUAUGUAUCAGAACAAAUGAUGGACUAACAGGUUUUUUUUUUAGUGCCCUGUCAGCCUUAGGCGGGGGGGGGGGGGGGGGGGGGUUUUAAGCCCGAUACUGUUUUCUUUGUAUAUAACUGAACUUAGUGGUGAGAUGGUCAAGUAUUGUGAAAGAGGUAUCCAGAUGACACCAGAUCUUACAGAAAUUAUGAUGUUGUUAUUUGCAGAUGAUAUUGUUUUACUUUCAGAUACACGAGGGGGGCUACAAAAGCAACUAGAUAUACUGUAUAAUUAUUGUCAAAAAUGGAAGCUGAUGGUAAAUUUACAGAAAACAAAAGUAGUAGUAUUUCGAAGAAGGGGAAAACUUUGCUUUUAUGAAAAAUGGUAUUAUGGAAAGGAAAUACUAAAUGUGUUCCACAAUAUAUCUAUCUUGGGAUAUGUUUCAAUAGUCAAACAAGUUUAGCACAAGUAACUAGUCAUUUAGCAGUCAAAGGUAAAAGGGCAUUAAUAGAAAUUUUUAGAACAAUGUCAAACUACAAAAUAUUCCCAUUUCAUACUUAUUUUAAAAUAUUUGAUACACAGGUAUUACCUAUUUUAUUGUAUGGGUCUGAACUAUGGGAUUUUCAACAGUUCGAAAGUAUAGAAAGAGUACAAUAUAUGGCUUGUAAACGAUUUUUAAAUGUAAGUAAAUAUGAACCAAAUGUCAUGGCACUAGGGGAAUGUGGAAGAUAUUUGAUAUACCAUAACAGUCUCAUUAGGUGUAUACAGUAUUGGAUAAAAUUGCUGCAAAUGCCAAUUUUCAGGUAUCCUCAUAAAGCUUACAACAUGUUAUAUUCUUUAGAUAAUGCAGGAAGAUAUACGUGGGUUACUGCUAUCAAGAAAAUUAUGUUUUCUUUAGGUUUUGGAUAUGUGUGGAUAUCUCAAGAUGUUGGGGAUAAGUCAUUAUUUUAAAACAAAGAGUAAAAGAUAUUCAAACACAACAUUGGAUUUCGAAAAUUAAGUCUAGUAGUAGGUAUGAUAUAUAUUGUAAAUAUAAAUUAAAUCUAGAACCUGAAUUAUAUCUUACAUCUUCUGCACUUGACGUAUAAAAAGGAUAUAGCACUGAUUAGAAUGGGAGGAGUGGGUCUAGCGGUGGAUGAAGGUAUACAUAUAGGUUUAAAUAAAAGGGAUAGGAUUUGUAAAUUAUGUAAUAAAAGAGAAGUAGAAAACGAAUUCCAUUUUAUUAUAAAUUGUCCAUUAUAUGAAACUUUAAGAGAAAUGUAUAUACCUAGAAAGUUUUUGACAAAUAGAUCCUUGUAUACUUUUAAUGAAUUCAUGUCUACAAGAAAUGAAAAUACACUAAAAUAUUUAGGUAUUUAUUUAGCUAAAGCAUUACAGUUAAGAAAGGAAAGAAGUUGUGUAAGUUACAGAUCUGGUGUGUAAGGUAAAUGUAUAGAAGAUUAUAACUAUGAUGUUCAUAUAGUGGUACUUUGGAAUAAUGUCACCUGCACAAAGGUCCAGUUGUUUAACAAUCAUAAGCUGACUACACUUUGAUAAAGAGUGUGUAUGUGGGUGAGGGUGGGGUAUGGUAAUAAAGGAAAAUAAUAAAUAUGAGAAUAAAUUAUAUGAAUCAAAACUAUAAUAGUGGGAUAUAAGUUAAUUUGUAGACCUAUAUGAAAUAAUGUACACCAAAAAUAAUUGUAUAAAAUAUAUGUAUACACACUGAUUGCAGUUAAAUAAUAUUUAGUGUGCUAUAUGAAUUGUUGAACAACGGGUCCUUCAAAUGUCACAUUUUCUUGUCUGUAAAUGGGCUAUGGCCUAAAAACGGAAUAAAGAAUUGAAUUGAA
Molecule: long non-coding RNA, 4898 nt
Filed under: Gigantopelta aegis
Lineage: Eukaryota; Metazoa; Mollusca; Gastropoda; Neomphalida; Peltospiridae
Description: uncharacterized LOC121388000
Source: RNAcentral